CAAUAGCGUAUAUUAAAGCUGUUGCGGUUAAAAAGCUCGUAGUUGGAUUUCUGUCAAGGACAACUGGUCCGCCCUCCGGGUGAGCACAUAGUUUGGUCUUGGCAUCUUGCUGGAAACUGUUGCUGCGCUUGGUUGUGUGGUGCAGCUUUCAGCACUUUCACUUUGAGGAAAUUGAAGUGUUUCAAGCAGGCACAUGCCUUUGGACACAGUAGCAUGGAAUAAUUAGAUUGGGCUUUUGCUCCAACUUGUUGGUUCCUGGAGCUGAGGUGAGAAUCAAUGGGGAUUGUUGGGGGCAUCCGAAUUUAGCCGUCAGAGGUGAAAUUCUUGGAUCUGCUAAAGACGGACAACUGCGAAAGCGUUUGCCCAGGAUGUUUUCAUUGA
RNAcentral lists this ribosomal RNA (381 nucleotides) under uncultured eukaryote. RNAcentral describes it as "partial 18S ribosomal RNA". It matches the Rfam family "Eukaryotic small subunit ribosomal RNA", at positions 592 to 976 of the family's 1831-position model. The record is from RNAcentral.